CAGGAAAUAGUUUAAGUAAAAUUUUAGUUUUGGGAAUUAAAGAAAGUGAGAAAUUGCUUUUCCUGA
This 66-nucleotide transfer RNA is filed under the name Stemonopa insignis. RNAcentral's name for it is "tRNA-Pro". Lineage: Eukaryota; Metazoa; Arthropoda; Malacostraca; Decapoda; Albuneidae. The record is from RNAcentral.